GAGAAAGUCAUGCACCACUCUGAUAUAUAAUUGAGGUGAUAAAUCUCUGAUACCCAUAUUAUACAUCUGAGCUUAAUCUUCAUUUCAAAUCCUUCUUUUUCCUCUGUUAUCUUUGUGUGAAAAAUUGUAUUGAAAAGAAGGAAGCGAGUGAUGACAAUCACCACAUCAUGAAAAAUUGUAUUCAGGCAAAUUAUCUUCGGGAGAGUUUGACAGCAGACUAAUUUAGAAAAUUACACUAUUUUAGAAAAUCUUAACCGAGCCUUUAUUAGACUUCGUUCAUCGUAAAUGAAAGAAAAAUUAUUAUUUAAUUUUGUAUUUUAAUAAAAAUAAUUAUUUAAUUUUUCUAUUUUAAAAAAUUAUACUAUUCCUUCGUUAUUUUAAAGGUAUUGAAGGAUAGAAUUAGGGAAAAAAAUUUUGUUUUAAAAUUAUGAGAGGGAGUAAAUAG
RNAcentral lists this unclassified non-coding RNA (445 nucleotides) under Hevea brasiliensis (rubber tree). The stretch from base 1 to 74 matches the Rfam family "Small nucleolar RNA Z221/R21b", at positions 17 to 91 of the family's 91-position model. Lineage: Eukaryota; Viridiplantae; Streptophyta; Magnoliopsida; Malpighiales; Euphorbiaceae. The record is from RNAcentral.